GGUCACAGCAGGAAUUUGCCCUCAUUUAUCCAGAUGUCAGGUCUUGUCUUCUGCUGUGUGCAAGGAAGCAGCAAAGACCAAAUAAAACUGAGCACAGCAGCGUGCAGAGAAAAACCUCAGCUACCCCAGCUGUGGGUAGACUUGAGAAGAUUUAAAUGAGGUCUGUAUUUGGGAUGAGUCCAGGAUGACAAGUUUUGGCUCCUCCAGUUCGGUGCAGCAGGAAGAGACUCCCAGUGAUGAGGAGCUUCAGGAGCCAGAUUCUCAUACCAGCCAUAGUGAACCAAACGGGAAGUUUACACCAUGAGGCAGAUGUGAACCUGGCACUGAGACGAGAGCCAGACAGACCGUCACACUGGGUAAUGGCACAAUAUAUCCGAGUUGGAAUCAGGCUCCAGGCACUGCAGAGAGGACCAGAGGCUCUCAUGUGUCCUCUCUGUAUGCGUUCAGGAUCUGCUGAUUUUGCUCUGCAUGUCUUCAGUUGGUUUCCUCACCUGUCGAGGAAAUCCUCCUCCCUUGCCCCUGUUCCCAUCCAUACGAGGCUGAGAUGUUCACCCACUGACCCGCGGUGCUGAGCUGGCUUUGCAGCCGCUGUGUGUGGGAACAGGUUUUUGAACUGCCCAGGAAUAGAGGCGAGCUUCCCUACCCACACAGGCAAAUCCAACACCAUAUGCCCAACAUUGCAUUCCUUUGGGCUGGGAGUCCUCAUUUAUGCCUUCACAAUUUUAUUGCAUGCUUUUUUUUUUUUUUUCAACUAAAGCAGCCAUUGCUUCUUCUCACAGAACCAUUAGGUAUGUGACAUUUCCACUAAAACAAUAAUGUUUUCAAAUGGUGCCAGUGAAAUGCUGGAGGUUUGGUUUAAAAUGAGAAAAGAGAGCUGUGAGCAACUAAUAGCCUAUUUCUCCAUCCCCAGAUAAUUAAACUAACCUCUCAAGAAGCUUGAAAAUGAACUUUUGAGUGUCUCUAUAAAUACUCCUCGAAAUACUUCUAAGAGAAUAUAUGUAAAUUUAUUAGUGCAAUUUAUGGUGCCUUGUUUCACGCUGAAAAUAAUAAGCUGAUGUUGUAGUCAGCUGAAAGAGCUUUUUUUCUACAUGCGUGGGAAUGUGUAAUGCAAAUAUAAAUAGUUUCUUCUUUGUGGAUUGCUCAUUUUCCUAGGGCUCAUUCUCACAGCACUAACUCUGAUCUUCCCCAUGUCCUGGUGGCUGUCUUUAUGACAUUAUGGGCUUAAGGAGUAGCCCAGACAGAAUAAUUGCUCUGUGUGUGAGCUAUGUCCAAAUGACCAAAAUAGUA
This is a long non-coding RNA of Cygnus olor (mute swan), 1287 nucleotides long. RefSeq lists it as uncharacterized. NCBI's taxonomy places the organism in Eukaryota, Metazoa, Chordata, Aves, Anseriformes, Anatidae. The transcript is spliced from 3 exons. The record is from RefSeq and is a predicted model, not a curated record.